Molecule: long non-coding RNA, 627 nt
Filed under: Ananas comosus (pineapple)
Lineage: Eukaryota; Viridiplantae; Streptophyta; Magnoliopsida; Poales; Bromeliaceae
Description: long non-coding RNA (ACOM_LNC007445)
Source: RNAcentral
AUAUUAUUAUAUAUUUUUUAUGCCAAAAAUUUUCUUAGUCUUCUCUCCUGUGAACAUGGUGAAGGGUAAAAUGCUGAGGGGCAAAAUAGUUAUUUUAUCAUCACAGUUCACACCAUACCCCCUGUGAACAUUUUCAUUUUACAAGAUGGCAAAAUGUAGGUUUUUAAAUGACAUGGAAGAAAAGUGAAAAAUCGGAUUUUGAAUGGGAGGUUUUCUGUAAUUUAGCUAUAUAUAUAUAUAUAGAGAGAGAGAGAGAGAGAGAGAGAGAGAGAGAGAGAGAGAGAGAGAGAGAGAGAGUUAACAAAGAUAAAAUACUGAGUAGUGAAUGAGUUAAAUUGACCUUUUUACCUCUCUUAUAUUAUUUGUGAUGGUAGAAAGGAAGAUGAUGCAUUAAAAAUUUUUGAAAUGAUAUUUCUACGUAAUUCUAACAGUUGAAACUUUUGGAGAGAUAUAUUUGUGAUUGCAAAAAUAUCGUUUGACUUAUCUUCUGUUAAAAAAUAAAUAGUACUCUAAUGAUAACAAACCAGAGAGGUAAUUAGGAAUCACUAGAUUUUUGUAGGAAUAAAUAUGAAAAAUUAAAGUUUGUAAGAAUAUAUUUGCUAUUUAAUAUGCUUAUAAAGAGCUGUA